GGGGGAAACCCUGAUGCAGCGACGCCGCGUGAGCGAAGAAGUAUUUCGGUAUGUAAAGCUCUAUCAGCAGGGGAGAAAAUGACGGUACCUGACUAAGAAGCACCGGCUAAAUACGUGCCAGCAGCCGCGGUAAUACGUAUGGUGCAAGCGUUAUCCGGAUUUACUGGGUGUAAAGGGAGCGUAGACGGAUGUGCAAGUCUGGAGUGAAAACCCGGGGCUCAACCCCGGGACUGCAUUGGAAACUGUCAAUCUAGAGUACCGGAGAGGUAAGCGGAAUUCCUAGUGUAGCGGUGAAAUGCGUAGAUAUUAGGAGGAACACC
This 320-nucleotide ribosomal RNA is filed under the name uncultured bacterium. Its description in RNAcentral is "bacterial SSU rRNA". It matches the Rfam family "Bacterial small subunit ribosomal RNA", at positions 373 to 710 of the family's 1533-position model. The record is from RNAcentral.